UUAUUUCCCCUUCAGCUCUUCUCAUCGCCUCCACUGAAGAGAUUAGGGUUUCAUCUGUUAAUCGAUCUGUUAAUCGACAUUCAAGCUUAGUUUCGAUCUUUCAAGAGAUUAGAAUCUUACAAAAGUUUCGAUCUAUGUAAGUUUUUUCGAUUUAGGUUAAAUCGUCUGUUUUUUCACCACAUUUGGGGAAAAGCUCAAGACUGCUGUUGUUAAUUGAGUUAGGGUUUUAUCUUGAUGGAUCUGGUGAUGUUGGAGAAGAAGAUGAUGAACAUUUAAUCUGUGGUUACAAGAAUCAGUAUAGGAAGAAAUGGAAAUGUUUCCAUCUGCUAACCGUGGCUUCACGAAGAAGAAGAAAGGGGUUACUGCUGUAAUUGGAGUUGAUUUCAUGGGUUUGGUUCGGAUUUAAUAGCUGAUUUGAGUUGGAACAAGUCAGUGGCUGAUUGGGUUUUGAGAUUGAAGUUGCAGUGCCGAACAUGGAUGAAGAAAUGAGCUGCUAAUGGUUUUGUUGUCGCUGUUGCUGUUUAGGGAAACUGUGUGUUAGGGCAUUGGGUUCUGAAAAUUUUGAGAUACGGAGAUCUCAAGCAAAGAAGGAUCAGUUGGAUUAUGAAUUGAAUUUGCAAGGAUUAAAGAGGAGAUGGAAAAGGUGUUGCUGCUAGUGACAGUAAGAACUGGUGGUGAUGUUCUAGAUAACUGAAAUUGGUGUUGCAGGCAGUGUGGUGGAUGAGUUAUCUGAGCUGAGUUGCAAUGGGAAUUGGUGAGCUGUAGUGCAGGUAAGGUGCGUGGAUCUUUAGCUCGUGCUGGAGAAGUCAUAGGACAAACUUCAAAGGUAACUAAACAAUGCAAGAAUUAAGAAUCCUAGGGGUAGAGCUCACAGGGGAAUGUUUCGUUGCUGCUGCCUGAUGGCCAAAUGCCUAGUGACAAGACUGUUGGCGGAGGAGGCCGAGCUUCGGAGACAAGACUGUUGUUGGUUUAGACUUCCAUCUCUAAGAUUUUUAUUUUGUGAAAAUAGGCUCUCAGGUAUAGAAAGUUUUGGGGAGAGAAGGCCGAGCUUCGGAGAUUCAAAGAUGACAUAUUGCAGAAAGCACAGUAUGGGAAUGUCAGCACUGGAAAAGGCACCUCAUUGUCAAAUUGUUGUUGUGUGAUCUGUUCCUUUGUAGGUUUGUGAUCAUUUGGUGUUUGUGGUUGCAGAUUUCCAUUAUAUUUUUUACACCGUUCUUUUCGAAGGUUAUACUGCAACUUCAGCUGGUACCGCAAGAAUCUGUCACA
This is a long non-coding RNA of Papaver somniferum (opium poppy), 1266 nucleotides long. RefSeq lists it as uncharacterized. The transcript has 4 exons. NCBI's taxonomy places the organism in Eukaryota, Viridiplantae, Streptophyta, Magnoliopsida, Ranunculales, Papaveraceae. The record is from RefSeq and is a predicted model, not a curated record.